AGGAUGAACGCUGGCGGCGUGCUUAACACAUGCAAGUCGAACGAUGAAGCCGGAGCUUGCUCUGGCGGAUUAGUGGCGAACGGGUGAGUAACACGUGAGUAACCUGCCCUUGACUCUGGGAUAAGCGUUGGAAACGACGUCUAAUACCGGAUACGACGCGCGAAGGCAUCUUCUGCGCGUGGAAAGAAUUUCGGUCAAGGAUGGACUCGCGGCCUAUCAGCUAGUUGGUGAGGUAACGGCCACCAAGGCGACGACGGGUAGCCGGCCUGAGAGGGUGACCGGCCACACUGGGACUGAGACACGGCCCAGACUCCUACGGGAGGCAGCAGUGGGGAAUAUUGCACAAUGGGCGCAAGCCUGAUGCAGCAACGCCGCGUGAGGGACGACGGCCUUCGGUUGUAACCUCUUUAGUAGGAAGAGCGAAAGUGACGGUACUGACAGAAAAGCAACCGGCUAACUACGUAGACCAACGACGCCGACGGUAAUCGU
Molecule: ribosomal RNA, 489 nt
Filed under: uncultured soil bacterium
Lineage: Bacteria
Description: bacterial SSU rRNA
Rfam family: Bacterial small subunit ribosomal RNA
Source: RNAcentral